Molecule: ribosomal RNA, 590 nt
Filed under: Bacillus sp. (in: firmicutes)
Lineage: Bacteria; Bacillati; Bacillota; Bacilli; Caryophanales; Bacillaceae
Description: bacterial SSU rRNA
Rfam family: Bacterial small subunit ribosomal RNA
Source: RNAcentral
GAGCGAAAGCGUGGGGAGCGAACAGGAUUAGAUACCCUGGUAGUCCACGCCGUAAACGAUGAGUGCUAAGUGUUAGGGGGUUUCCGCCCCUUAGUGCUGCAGCUAACGCAUUAAGCACUCCGCCUGGGGAGUACGGUCGCAAGACUGAAACUCAAAGGAAUUGACGGGGGCCCGCACAAGCGGUGGAGCAUGUGGUUUAAUUCGAAGCAACGCGAAGAACCUUACCAGGUCUUGACAUCCUCUGACAACCCUAGAGAUAGGGCUUUCCCUUCGGGGACAGAGUGACAGGUGGUGCAUGGUUGUCGUCAGCUCGUGUCGUGAGAUGUUGGGUUAAGUCCCGCAACGAGCGCAACCCUUGAUCUUAGUUGCCAGCAUUCAGUUGGGCACUCUAAGGUGACUGCCGGUGACAAACCGGAGGAAGGUGGGGAUGACGUCAAAUCAUCAUGCCCCUUAUGACCUGGGCUACACACGUGCUACAAUGGACAGAACAAAGGGCUGCAAGACCGCAAGGUUUAGCCAAUUCCCAUAAAUCUGUUCUCAGUUCGGAUCGCAGUCUGCAACUCGACUGCGUGAAGCUGGAAUCGCUAGUA